Helianthus annuus (common sunflower) is the source of this 2380-nucleotide long non-coding RNA. RefSeq lists it as uncharacterized. The record is from RefSeq and is a predicted model, not a curated record. The transcript has 12 exons. Lineage: Eukaryota; Viridiplantae; Streptophyta; Magnoliopsida; Asterales; Asteraceae.
UUCCCCAUACAAUUUGUCUUUUCAAUAUCAAAUCUCAAAAUCUGGCAACCAUUUUCUCUCAAGAAACCCUACAAACUUAUCACAGCCCAAAUCCAUGUCGGUACCAAGAAGACCACGCUAAGAUGUGCAAUUCCUCUUCAGAUUACAGUUUGUUUCUCUUCAGGCUUUAGCUUUGUUUGCAGCAAGAACAACUUCAGCGGUGUAAGAUUUCACCGGAUCAAUUCUGAUUUUGCUCUCAUCAGCGGCUGUAAAUGGUGGUUGUUUGGUUAAGCUAGCGAUUCCGACCACUUGACAAACUUUAAGGAAGAACCAUAGAGAGAGAAGGGAAGGAAAAUCUCUAGAGAAGGUAUAACAUGUUAAACUCUAAAAUGAUUCAAAUGUGCGACAGGACUUAGUUGAACAAAAACCCUAAUCGAGUUGAUUCUUGAUCGUUUGGUAUUGAAUUAAAAAGGAUAUUCAAGAAUUAGGGUUCUCGAGUUGAUGAUUGUGUAGUUUUAUCAAAAUCAAGAUUAGGGUUUGGUAUAGUUUUUGUUGUUAUGUAAUUGGGAAUGUUGAAUUUUGGUUAAUUUUGAUGAAAUUGUGAAAUGGGGUUAAGUGUUUAUAGAUAGAUCUAAGUUGGGAUUGAAGUAAGAGUGAUGGCAGAAUCAGUAGCAGCCAAAGUGAAAUCAAUCUUCAUAUAUCCAAUAAAAACCAGCAGCGAGUACGGAACAAUUCAAAUUUAAUGGCACAACUGUUUCAGAGUGAUCAUGAGUUGGCACAAAUUAUUCUUGGGAAUGACUUGAAUAAGUUACAAGAUGUCUUACGGGUUCGUCAUUGCCAGAGAACUGAAUACAGUCGGCAACAAGAGGAAGAGAUGGCUGGGUUAACAAGCUCAAGCGUGCUUCCUGAAUCUCUUGAAAUUUGGCUCCACUGUUAGGCAUUCGCUUUCAUCACGGGCUUUCGAGAAAGAACAGCGCUGCCUACACAUCCCGAGCAUUGAUCGUACCACAGGUGUACCUGCUCCUUAUGUUAUAGUUGUGGCCUCCUCAUGUUCUCAUCAAACUUAGUUAUGUUAUGUUAUUGUUAAGGUGAUUCUUGGAAUGUCAGCCUUGCCACUACUGUUUCCAGUAAACGAGUGAAAGUAGUAGAAAAAGUUAGUUUGACUUGAAGAAGUCAAGACGUGUGGGAUAAGUUUAUUAGUUGUAUAAGUUCAGCUCUGCACAUUUUAUCAAGUACCAGGGUGUACUUUAGCUAAAAAGUUGUAAUCGAAAGCGUGUCGCUAGAUGGAAGUUCGUCUUUCGUUAUUGGCCUAAUUGCGAUAGCAGAACAUAUGUUUUAGAAGGCCUCCGACAAAUUUUUGGCUGUAAAGAAUUUGCAAGCAUGUGAUAUAGAUUAUAAGAGGUGGGAAGAAGAUAUACAGAAAUGGACAAAGAUUAGAAGAGACAUGACAUGGUUCAAGUUUCUUUUCAUGGCUACACAUAUCCUUAUUGGUUGCAAAAGGUUCUUACCUGUCAAACCUGACCAGAACCGACCCGACCCGGAACUGUGAAUCAGAACUGGGACGGAACCCUUCUAGCCAUAACAUGGGUUGAGUCCUCGACCAGAAUGUGAAGCAGCAUACUUGCAUGGAAUUCUCGAAUCAAUAACUCGCAUUGAGGAGUGCAGUGGCAAUGGCGCAUCGAGUAAAUUGGCCACCAAACAGUGAACGGGUCACACGAGUCGCGGGUUUGAACGGUUAAUUCCUCAUGGUUUUAGCAGUUCAUUCAGUUUUGUCAAACGUUUGCCUUAGUGUUACUGGUUAAGAAGCUCUUAAUACCAGUAAAUUUGAAGAAGCUUGUGGCGUUAGUGUUGCGCACUUUCCAUGAAAUCUUUGAAGAGAAAAAGAGUGCAGUCAAGGUACAAUGGCUUCCAUCGCAUGCCUGAGACACGGGGUCUUUGCCUUUCGGAGGAGCAGACCGUUACAAGUAUACCCGUAUGAAGAAGCUGUAACCGUGGCCAUAUCGAGCAUUGCAAUGCCAUUAAAGAGGUUCAUUUUGUGCUUUUCGCGGAUGAUAUUUACAUUGUUUGGUUGAAAAAGGCGGGGGAGUUGCUCCCAAAUUAGCAUUUGUUUCGACUUCAGAUGUCUACCUUUAUCGAAAUAAUUAUCAUUAUUUAUUACUGAUAUGCAGGUUCUGGACUGUAAUAUAGAAGUUUGGUUGGUCCUCACUUCCAGAUUAUCAAAAUGUCUUUUUUUUUAUUUGGUCCCCGGAUAAUGACUGAGGAAUCCAAACACCGACAUGAUCAAGAAAAAGAUGAACACAUAUUACAACAGAAUUGAAUAUUUAAACAUGUUUUGAUUUUAAAUAUAUAACAAAUCGAGUAAGAUGGCUGCAUGCCUAUCACCAUCAGUUCCAAAAUGUUG